UGGAGGUAAGGUGUUAGAGACAAGGAUCCUGAAACACCUGAUCCUCUGAUAGUGACAGGCACAGAAAAAGUACAAAACACACAACUGGGCACCUGAGCACAGGGAAACAGCUUUAAGCCGCACAGAAUAUUCCUACACAGCCCAACAGCUGACAUUCAAAAGGGAUGGCCUGAGUUACUGAAGGUUUAAAUUAUACUUUGAAGAGUCUGCUUAAGAAAACAAAGCUCUAACACCGAUUGAAUUUUUCGUGGAAUAAGUUUCAGUCACCGGGAAACGGCAUGGGACAGUUCAGUCAUUAGGAUGCUACUUGGACAUUUUAAGACGGAAACUAUGUUGUGGGUCUGGAGACGGUUCUGCAGUCUCGUAACGACUUUCACCGAUACACAACAGAAUGCAGUGGUAAAGAAACCAUGGACCAAGUGGGCUGUUGGGCAGAGGAGUCCCCACGCUAUAACAGGGAGUAGAGGAGAUACCUGAUUUCUUUGGCUUGUCUUUCCCAGAAGAUGAGGAGCAGAACCUGGAAAGUCCGAACACAAUUUGGUGUUGACUCACAGAAUGUUCUCUGAAUCGAUGACCUUCGGUGUGUGCCAAAGCUGACUGACUCACUGGUCUCUUCCCCCAACCAAGCUGGUUCUCUGGGCUCGGCAGGAGUCCUGACUGAGACCUCUCCUUACUCCAUAUUCUCUUUAUUACUAAUGAGGCGUGGUUCCUUAAUUACUAGGUGCUGGAUACCAGAAUUGAUUUCCUUUGUUUCAGUGAAUUUAGGAAAAGACUUAUGAAUAUUUCUUGCGCUUGACAUGAACUGCUUGAUUUUUUUUUUUUUUUUCCGGCCUGCAAAGGUCACUGAAGGGAGACAAGGCAAAGUGACGCCUAGAGCAUCAACAAGUAUGAAAUUCACCUUUAUCAUUGAAGCAUUCAGAUCCUUUGAUACACGUUCCCUGGACACUCUGCUGCCUUAUUUAAAGUAAAAAACAACCAGAAUGUGGGAGGUGCCCCAGGUAGCUCAAUAUUCUGUGAGCUAAAUGAGUGAUAUCAGUAUAUUAAAUCACUAAUAGCCCUCGUUGUAAAAAACUGUUCCAACAUAGAUGAGCCUAAAUUUCCUACCUUAGGGUGUCCCACCUCUUGAACAUAACUGACUCCUUAAUGAUUCAGAGUUUCAAAGCCUCAGGGUCCUAAUCCUGAGAAGCAGAGACUGGGGAAAUUUUGCUGAAGUUUGUUGGCUGGCUAUGGGAUCUAUUAAGAAAUUGUCUUUGUUGGUAUUAAAUCCAAGACUUUUUUUUUAAACCAUUUUUUUUUUUCUCAUGAAAACCGUAAAGUUAAUGAAGGUAGAGGCUGGUUAGAGUUUCAUUUAAUGGAUAAGCUCUUUCUCGAAGUCUUGGAGCACUUAUGUCUGAGGGCAAAAUGUUUAGUUGUGAUGAUCUGUGUUGGCCAUUCCAGCACAAAUAGCCUGAGGUUGCAAUGGUUAGAAUCAUCCACACUGUCCCUGCCAAAACACGGAUCCUGGCAGGUCACCUAGCCUCUGUUGGCCUCAGUUUCCUCCUCUGUAAAAUGGGCGGAAUAAUCAGGCAAGGUGCAGUAUUUAACCUAAGUGAGGAAAGUGGAUUAUUAUUGCCCUAAAAAACCUGUAGAA
Molecule: long non-coding RNA, 1630 nt
Organism: Lynx canadensis (Canada lynx)
Lineage: Eukaryota; Metazoa; Chordata; Mammalia; Carnivora; Felidae
Exons: 3
Source: RefSeq, a predicted model, not a curated record